RNAcentral lists this ribosomal RNA (492 nucleotides) under uncultured bacterium. RNAcentral describes it as "partial 16S ribosomal RNA". It matches the Rfam family "Bacterial small subunit ribosomal RNA", at positions 29 to 507 of the family's 1533-position model. The record is from RNAcentral.
AGUGAACGCUGGCGGCAGGCCUAACACAUGCAAGUCGAACGGCAGCACAGUAAGAGCUUGCUCUUACGGGUGGCGAGUGGCGGACGGGUGAGGAAUACAUCGGAAUCUACUUUUUCGUGGGGGACAACGUAGGGAAACUUACGCUAAUACCGCAUACGACCUACGGGUGAAAGCAGGGGAUCUUCGGACCUUGCGUGAUUGAAUGAGCCGAUGUCGGAUUAGCUAGUUGGCAGGGUAAAGGCCCACCAAGGCGACGAUCCGUAGCUGGUCUGAGAGGAUGAUCGGCCACACUGGAACUGAGACACGGUCCAGACUCCUACGGGAGGCAGCAGUAGGGAAUAUUGGGCAAUGGGCGCAAGCCUGAUCCAGCCAUGCCGCGUGAGUGAAGAAGGCCUUCGGAUUGUAAAGCCCUUUUAUUAGGGAAGAAAAGCAGCGGAUUAAUACCCCGCUGUUCUGACGGUACCCAAAGAGUAAGCACCGGCUAACUACGUG